CACUAACCGAGGAUUUGUACGAGAGAAAUGAAAAGUAGGACGAGAAUCGUAAAAACAGAGCGUGCCAUCUUGUAUCUCGCCUUGUACGUGUCUACAUCGAGAUUUAAAACUGUCUGAAUGUUCUGAGGAUUUCUCGGUGCUUUCGCUCUUCAGCAAGAUGGCAACGACAUAAAAGGAUCGAAAAGUCUUAUCAUUUAAGUUCAAUUGACAUAGAAAAGAGCGUCAACUGUGCAACUUUAAUUAACUGUAACGAACGAAGAAAGCACUUCUCGAUAACGCUAUACAGAGAUUAAUUGAUGUAAUCCAUAUACGAGAAAAUCUAUUACUAUACAAGGACAGAACUUAAAAUAGAACAUAUCAUUAACGUUAAGAUAAUGUAAAUUUAUAUGUCAUACUGAUAAGUUUGAGAUGAUAACGUCUAAUAAUAUGUUAAUGAUAGUACUA
Camponotus floridanus (Florida carpenter ant) is the source of this 444-nucleotide long non-coding RNA. RefSeq lists it as uncharacterized. The record is from RefSeq and is a predicted model, not a curated record. The transcript is spliced from 3 exons. NCBI's taxonomy places the organism in Eukaryota, Metazoa, Arthropoda, Insecta, Hymenoptera, Formicidae.